This is a non-coding RNA of Brassica rapa (field mustard), 238 nucleotides long. RefSeq annotates it as microRNA MIR9563b. The record is from RefSeq and is marked provisional. NCBI's taxonomy places the organism in Eukaryota, Viridiplantae, Streptophyta, Magnoliopsida, Brassicales, Brassicaceae.
AAUGAAUAGGGACCCAAAUGAAUAUUAAUUUGAAGAAUGGUAUUAAGAACAUGAUUAAUGGGGAGUUCUUAAGGUGAGGUUCUUAACAGGAUAUAAGAACUCGUCUCUUAACUUUUAACUAAAAAAACUAACAACCAACUCUUAAAUAAGGUAUUUAAGAGCCGGUUUUUAGCUUUUUUAGUUAAAAAUUAAGAGAUGAAUUCUUACAUCCCACUAAGAACUCUACCCUAAGAAUUCC